UACGUAGGGUGCAAGCGUUGUCCGGAAUUAUUGGGCGUAAAGAGCUCGUAGGCGGUUUGUCGCGUCUGCUGUGAAAAUCCAAGGCUCAACCUUGGACCUGCAGUGGGUACGGGCAGACUAGAGUGCGGUAGGGGAGAUGGGAAUUCCUGGUGUAGCGGUGGAAUGCGCAGAUAUCAGGAGGAACACCAAUGGCGAAGGCACGAUCUCUGGGCCGUAACUGACGCUGAGGAGCGAAAGCGUGGGGAGCGAACAGG
This 254-nucleotide ribosomal RNA is filed under the name uncultured bacterium. RNAcentral's name for it is "partial 16S ribosomal RNA". It matches the Rfam family "Bacterial small subunit ribosomal RNA", at positions 524 to 776 of the family's 1533-position model. The record is from RNAcentral.